Long non-coding RNA from Hemibagrus wyckioides, 1435 nucleotides. RefSeq lists it as uncharacterized. The record is from RefSeq and is a predicted model, not a curated record. The transcript is spliced from 3 exons. NCBI's taxonomy places the organism in Eukaryota, Metazoa, Chordata, Actinopteri, Siluriformes, Bagridae.
AAAGCACACACGCUAGUUCGUUUAGACUUCAUAUGUUAACUGAGACAUUAGAUUGUAUUUAUUAUUUAAAGAUUUCUUGCAAUAGUUUAAGUAUGUAUAGCUUUUAUAUUUGUAAGGUUCAUCGCUUGUGGCACUUUGUUAGCGCGCCCGCCUCCCAUGCUGGAGACCCGUAUAAAAUAAUUGUAAAAUAUAUAAAAUAUUAGUACCACUGACAUCAGUACUAUUACAAGUUGCAGGUUAGCUUAUCUGGUAGAGCGUCUGCCUCCCAUGCUGGAGACCCGGUCGGAGUUGUAUUUUUUGUAGUUAGUCUGCUUGCUGUCCGUAUAGAUAGUUAGGAUCAGCAAGCAUGAAUACGGUUACAUCAUAGCUGCUGUUCGCAGGGCAGACAAACAUAAGUUAACGCAAUUAGUUAACAUGUCUUAUGUCAAGUAAAGUUAUUUUUUUUUAUAUUUUUGGUAUAUUCUAACUACAAGUAGAGUCACAAGAUUAUAGGGCUUUAUUUGCUAUACAAAGUCAUAGCAGUAAGUAUAAACAAAGCAGCCUAAACACUGUACACUGAAAAAAGUUAAACUGCUGUGUCAUUCAUCUAAAGUAUGUUUCUUCAUUAGUUUGAUAGAAAAUUUAGAUUUCUUAUCUGAAACUGAUAUUUUUACUUUGCUUAAAAGGAAACACCGCCUUCCUUGGUUAAAAUUAAGUGUAAUCUGUUUCCUCAAAGCCGAUUUCUACUUUAAACUAAAGGGUCGCCUUAUCACGUGACCUCAGGACGUCGCACCAGAUCAGUCUGAACCAGAAUCUGCUGUCCGCCAUUACAGUUGUCUGUCGCUUGGAAAGAGAAUUUUGUGUACUGAAAAAGAAAAGUCUUUUACACACGAUUUGUGAGCGUCUUCUCAAAAGGCCACUGUUUUACCCAUACUACAGAAUUUGUCUUCUCAUGAAUGUGGAAGUGCAAAGACUGUGGUACCUCGGUUUUGCGAAGAUCUGAGCUUAUCAAACAUUAUAAGCUUGAACAUAGACACUAUGGACAUCACCAUUCUUAUCCAUGUGUCUAUUUGAACUGUCCAUGCACUUGCAAGACUUGGAAUGGUCUUCUGACUCAUGUUUCAAAAUGUCAUCACAGACAGAAUGAACUGACCACAUAUAAAUGCCUCUUGUGCAAUUACAAUCAACUUUCCACUCUCAAAAAAUAUUUGAAAACAUAGGACAGCAUCUCAAAAACAACGAGACUGUUGAUUGUGUGUUUUAAGGGUGUUCAUAUAAAACCAACAUUUAUGGUUCAUUUCAGACUCAUAGAAGUAGGAAAAAUAAGGGUUUUCAGGUAAGCAAUUUAAAGCCUGGAAUACUUGAGAAACAGGGGUCAAGCUUAGCUCUUCCCACUGAAAAUCGUUAUUCUGACAGUAUCCAGAUUGAGAGUAUUGGUAAUGACCCAUUAGAUGAU